This 8865-nucleotide long non-coding RNA is filed under the name Theobroma cacao (cacao). RNAcentral describes it as "long non-coding RNA (TCAC_LNC001994)". Lineage: Eukaryota; Viridiplantae; Streptophyta; Magnoliopsida; Malvales; Malvaceae. The record is from RNAcentral.
GAAAAGAAAGAACAAGAACCCUAGGGUGAAAAUUCAAGAGAAAAUUGGUGGAUUUCAAGUAAUCAAGCAAUCAAAGGUAAAAUUUCUUGAUUUUGACUUGUGAUCUACCUUUCCCAUACAUUCUUUUGCAUUUUCCAUGGUUAAAUCACAUGAUUUCAUGAUGGGUAUCUUGCUGGCUAAACACUUAGAGAGAGGUUUUGAUGCUUGAUUUGGUUAGAUUUCAAGUAUUUUAGUGUUUUUAGUUUAUUGGUGAUGUGUAGCAUGAAAAUCAAUCAAGAAAAAUUCAUGUUCUUCCAUCACCCAUCAUUGGCCGAAUUCUCCAUGUAGAAUAUUGAUGAUGAUUUUGAUUUUAUUUCAAGUGAUUUGGUUAGGAAUUAGUGAUUUAUGGUGUGAGAAUCAAGCUUGAAAAAUUAUAGUGUUGAUGCACCCACCAUGGCCGAAUUUUCCAAGAGAAAAUGUGAGGAUGAUUUUGUCAUAUUUCAAGUUAUUUAAUUUGUGUUUGAUGAUUUCGAGUAUUGGGAGAAAAAUGAAAUUAUUUGGAGUUGAAUUAGACGUAUUGGCCAAUUAAUCGAGUGAUAGAUCGAAUUAAGCCAAUACCGUUUUAUUUAGGUACAUAAUUGAAUUUAUAUUGAACAUCGUAUUUAGAUAGUUACCCAAGCAUUUCACAUCCCAUUUCAUGCAUUAGUAUAGAGCCUGAAUUGGUUUUAUAACAAUUUAGCACAAAUGUAGUAAAUGGCUUAUUGUGCAUUAUGUCUAGGUGGUGAGCAUUCUAGCAAAAGUAAAGAGAUAGUACCCGAGGAUCAAGAAUCAAAGUGCUCGAAAUUUGACUCCCGAAAUAGUGAGUAACCUUACUAUCGUCUUAAUUAUCUAAAGUGGUUUUUAUCCGAUUUUGUGACUUUAUGAAAAAUGAGUUAAAUGGUAAAUCUUUGUGUUUUGUAAUUAAAAUGUGAUUUAAUGAAAUUAUUUUAUAACAUUGUCUUGAAAUGAAAUGAUAGUUUGAAAAUAGAGUAAUUAGAGACUGUUUUCAUGUGUUGUAAAUUCAUGGUUUGAAUCGAAUGGCUUAUGACAAUAUUUGCAUGAAUGGCUGAAUUGGUAUUUGUGUUGAAAUAUAUGAAUUGUGUAUUUAGCCUUGAGAGACUGGAUUGUGAUAUAAUUGUCAUGUCAUGCGGUUGAGAUUUUAUUGAAUUGGUGGGUUUAGCUUGCUGCAGUGGACCGUGGACCAGCCUAUUAGAGGGGCAUGGUAACCUCGUUAUAUUCUUACCUCGGUCGAAGAGGCAUGUAGGGUAACUCCCGAGGUACAACUUUAGAGUUCACUUCACGCCAAACCACCACGUGAGGGUGGACUCAGCCAACGCCAAGGAACGACUUGUUUUCAAAAUAAAAACAUGAUUUAUGCGUACAUGACUUUUUAACAGCCUUGGCGGACUCAGUUUGGAUAGCCCCAGACCAAGGUAUCCCUGAUAACUGAGUAUGAGAAUGAUUUUGGCACGAGCCAGAGUUUUAAGAAAUUCAUAAGCCAUGUUGAUUACUCGAUUUAUAUGAAUUGAUUUUAUUUGGUUGAAAUGAGUUGAAAGGUGAUAAAUUACAGUAUGAUGAUCUAUUUUAAUCUGUCUCCAUUUACUCAGCUUUAGAUAUUUUAGAUGGUAUUUGUUUACUCACUGAGAUUAUAUAAUCUCACCACCCUCCUUUCCACCCAUUUCAGGCUCAGGAUAGUCGGUAGAUAGCUCACUUGUUGAGGGCUACAGUUGGACUUGCAUCCUCAAAAAACUAUAAGUUUACCCCUAUUGAUACUUUUGGUCGUUCGUGGGCCCACAUGUCACUGUAAAUUAAAUUUUAUACUUUGAUUAUUUGUAUUACAGUAUGUAUGAAUUUAUUUAGCUUUUACGCUACAAAAAUAUUUACCAAGAACUCUAUAAAUAUUGUUUUAUAAGAAAAUAGAAUAUUUUAUUGAAUAUUUUUAGUAUAUUCAAAUAGUUAUAGUUUCGCUUUAAAUGAAUGUUUUAGACAUCUAAACUUAUUUUGAUUAUGAAAUAUGUGUUUUCCACUCACAUACUACAUUUUUAGCUGGUUUCGAGAUUUUUGAGGAAAAAUGACCAAAAUGCCCUUGUGAGAAAAAAUUUAUUUAUCUAUUAUUUUGAUUUGAAAAUAGUUUAUAGUCUCUUAAAACAUGAUACUUAACAACUGUUGCUCACAAGGGAGGUGCAAAAAUGAUAUUAAAGCCUUGCGAGGUUCCGGUUGGCAUUCCAGACAAUGAAUGUCUAUCGGGACGUCGCAGCGGUUGUCACAAGCUCGAGGGGAGCACCGGGUUGUGACAAUUAGAGUGGUAUCAGAACUUUUAAGUUUAAAGUUGUUUUAAAGUUAUUUUAAAAACUACAGUGUCAGUGUGGCCCAAGUUAAGUUAAGUUAAGUUAUGUUUGAUAUAAUAGAAUACGUGGAUCUGCAUAUAAAAUUUGGAAUUGUUUAGACUCUUUCUGUUUCUUCUUAUAGAUCUUAUGGGAGCAUAAGUCAUAGAUAGGGAGCUAUAUGAACUCCUGUUCCUAGUAAUCCACUUCCUUGUUAAUGUCAUGCAAAGGUCAUAAGUAGGGCCAUUGUCAGGGUUUAAGAUGCCACCCGUGACACGAGCUAGUGUUAGAGAGAUUUUAAAACGAAUGCUCCUAAUGAAAGAUUAAUGAAAUGAUAUAUCCUUCUAAUUAAGGAUGAAAAAAUUUGGAGUUAGAUUAAUAGGCCGUGAUAAUUUAUUCAUUUUGUGGAGUUAUAAUUGAACUCAUGGUUGUCAAUUGAAAAAAGAUUUGGGGACUAUGGAUUGUAUUGGGGUUAAUAUAAAGGAGCAUGUGUGAUAAUGGUAAUAAGGGGUGCACUUUGAUUAGAAUGAAUAGUGAUGGUUGUAAUUCACUUGGAGUGUAUAAAUUAAGCAUUGAGGUAAGAGUAAACCCAUACUUAUGUGCAUAAAGAUAAGAACACUAUGUUAAUUGAGCUUGUUAUGCCCAUAUAAAAGUGGUGUUGGGAUUUUGAAAUAUUUUAUAUGUGAAUAUGUGUUGAAUAGGUACAGCAGCUUAGAGGGAACUGGUGUUGAUUUCAAUUAAGCAAUUGUGAGAUUUCAAGAAUUGAUUGGACCUAUUAUAGUUCAUGGAUAUAAGCACGUGAAUUAACUCGAGAGUGAGUAUCAAUGAUUACUAUAAUUGAUGUGUGGUCAUGAAGUAAGAAGUUAGUAAACAAAUCUGCUCUAAGGAUGAGCUUGAACUUUGCUAUGCAUAGCAGGGGGAGCCAAGGGAUUAAAGGACUAGAUGUGGAAUUGGCAGCUUGAGGUUAAAUGACUUGGAAAUGUCGAAUCUAGUCUAAGUGCCAUAUGAAGUUCUAUAAUUGAGAUUGAUAUACGAAUUACUUGAAAGAUCAAUUUAAAAGUUUAUUCGGUUCAAAGUGUGGCCUAUGAUACGAAUGAUCAGUCUUGAAGGUGAUCUCCCCAGAGUAAGGAAUUUAGAAAAUGUUGAUGUUUGGAUAUACUCUAAGAGAGAGAACUUCUGCAUCCUAAGUUUAGGACAACUUUGAUCUUAUGAUCGCAAAGGCAAGGUGUAAUAACUAAGUAAAUUAUUCACUUAAUAAAUGUGAUUGGUUAUUGAUGAAUAAAGUCAAGAUCUUAACAUUUAGUGGUAUACAAUUUGAUAAUUAUGUAUUUAAGAGUUAUUUGGAGACAAUUCCUUCAUCAAAUUUGCACUAAAUGCUAUGGUAAAGGCAUAUCAAUGUUAAUAUGGAAAUGUAUCCAGGAAUGAUCUUAACAUACCACCAAAGGAGAAUUAAACAUGUUGAAAUUAAUGUUCUAAUAGUGUGCAUAUGAUCGAAAGCUAGUUUGUAAGUUGUAGUUUUCAUGAUCAUGAAAUAUAUAAAGAUUAUCAAUAUAUGGACAUACACUUGGAGUUGUAAUUUACAAGUUUGGAGUAUUUAAGAUAUGAUUAAAUGGAAUUAGCAUUAGUUAAGGUACGUAAAUCUUUUAAUUAAUUUCUGUGGAGUAUGCAUGAUAGUAUAAUGGAGGAACAUAAUGCCGUCAUACUAUAUGGUGAAGUUACUAUACAAUAUGGAAAGAGCAUUCUAAAAUAGGAUUUAUUGAUUGUUGACAAGUGUUAUAGAAUGAGAUGAAUUUGAAAAUAUCGACUUUACCUAUUAUAUGUGAUAAGCACAAGAGGAUAUAAAUGGUUAUGAAAAUUGUGACGUAAGCUUGGAGGGAAACCAAACGGUUGAGAAUGAUUAGUGUAGUAACCUUAAAUAUAGAUGAAUAACAUUGAUUAAGUAAACUCCAACAGUCACCGUGUCGCGGUGCUAAGAACACUUCAUGUCUAGGACACAUGAAUAAAAUGAGACAGAUGUAAAGUUGAACUUAUGAGUUGACCUAAAGUCAUUGAACUUGAUUCUAAGUUUUGUUAACUGGAGUUUUAAGGUUUUGGAAGGUAUCGAUAUGAAUGAGUUAAAGCUGAAAUGGUUAAAGGCGUUCCCUUCUAGGGGGGGGAGCAAAAGGUUUGGGGUUCGAAACUUGGCGAGAAGGUCCUGCAAGGCCUGUCGUGCCGCCCUUAAGAGCGGGGUUCCGAGUAAGUCAAGUGAUGGGGAUCCAGACAUAACAAUACCUUGGAGUUGGCCCCGAAGGGGAUGCCACAUAAAUGACUAAGUUGCGGGUUAAGUGAUCACAUGUUAUGAGACAUAAGUUUAAGAUAGAUAUCCCCAAGGAAAUACUCAAGAGAAGUUCUACCAUGGAUCUAGUGAAAGCAAGCACUAAGUUAUGUGGUUAUAAAAAAGAAGCCAUAAGCUGAGAGUGAUACUUGUAUUGACAGUGAAAAGUACUUAAGGAGGACAUAGUUUCAAGUUUUACAAUUUCAAGUACAAUCUGUAAAUUGGCUAAGGGAGAAUGAUGUUAUGUUCAUAUGAAAGAGUAGAACAAAAGAUGAUUAAAGUUAACCUUGAUAAUGAAGUCAGAUAAUGAAAACUUUUCUAAUAUUAUGAAAAAUUGGAAUUCGAAAAUGCUUGAGGCAUACAUGAUUCAAAUGAGUCUAAGUCUUAAGUGACAAAUUAAUAUCGGAAUGCAAUAAGGAUACAAUAUAUGUAAGAGGCAUGAAAGAUAAUCAAGGAAUAAGGAUGACUCUUAGGAAUAAUGGUAUUGCAUAACAUGCAAUGAUCAAGUCAAGGAAAAUUUUUGAAGUAUUAAUGGGAUUAUAAAGCAUACAUGCAUAAUAGAUUAUAAUUCAAUAGAGAUGACAUUGUGAUGCAAUGAUAUAUAGUACAAGGAAACUUAAGCAUAUAAUUGAAAAUGAUAAAAAGAGUAUAAGUAUGUAAAUGAUGUGGAACUAUACACAGGCAUGAUGAGAAUUUGUAUGAAUUAUGAAGAUUAUUCUAUCGAAUCUUGGUUAUGGAUAGGAAUGAACAAAAAGAAAUUAGUCUGAAGUCAUUUGAAAACAGAAACCCGUAUACAUAAUGAGGAAUAUGGACAUUUGAAUGUGCGUGUAUAUGUAUGUGUGGAGUUAGUGAUGUACCCAACUAAAAUGAAGAAUGGUUUUAGUGGUUCGAGAUUUGAACUCAAUAUAUUUGAUGAGUUGUAUAGAUAAUUUAACGAUCAAGAAUAUUAUCAAAAGUCGAUUUAUGGCGACCUAAGGAAUUUUGGGAAAAUAGUUAAUGGAAUGUAAUCUAUAGUGCGAUUAAGCCAUAUGAGAUGGACUAAUAGGAUUAAGAAGAUUGAAAUUUCCUAAAUGCAAGGUAAACAUGAAGUAUGAGGAAAGAUUGAAGCCAUUAAUCUUUCCUAACAUUGAGGAUAUAUACAGGAAUAAGUAUGGCAUGUUAAUGAUACUGUAAACUACACAAUAUUGUAUGAAGAUAAGAUGAAUGAAUGAAAGUCAAGAAAUUUGAUAUGGAAUGAAGUAAUAAGAUAGAGAUUGAUAUACCUAAAUAAGUAUAAAAUGCGAUCAAAAUUGGUAUGAUUGAGAUGGAGUUACGGUUCAAGUAUAAUAAUAGUAAUAGAAGCAUGUUUGGUGUCUCGAUAUAAGAGAUCAUAAUUAUAAAGGUUACUGUUGAUCUAAUUUUAAAGGAUAAUAAUAGACAUAAAUGAAGUAUUCGAGUUGAAUUGGAGGUAAAUGAGGUGAACAAAUCGAAAUUCCCUAUAAAGGGGAGGACAUAAGAAGUCAAGCAUUAUAUGAGAAAACAAUAUCCUCACCUUUUCUCUUAGUUCAGUAAAUAAAAUUUUGAGGUCAAAAUUUUAUUUUAAGGGGGAUAGUGCUGUCAAGCUCAGCUCUACAAUAUGUUUAUUAUGUCAUUUCUACAUAAGAAUGCAUGUUUGCUUACUUAGGUACCUCAAAAAUCGUUAAAGGACGACAAUAUACCAAAUGGUACAAUUAAGUUGAAUUAAGCCUCGAACUAGUCCAAAUAGAGAUUUUAAAAUGAAAUUGAGAAUUUUAAAACCCCAGAAUAACUUAAAAUGGUGAUUCAGAGUUCGAGGACUGAUUUGGAGUCAUUGAAAUUUACAUGACCCAAAGGUAAAAUGGUCAUUUUGCUACCCGAGGUUAAGAUGUGAGUGUUGGAUGAAAUUUUUGACUAAGAUUGAUCAUUUGGAGUAUAAUUUGAGUUUGAGAAGUGAAAAAUUUUAAUUUUGACAUUUUUUCGAGCAUAGGGGUAAAAUAGUCAUUUUGCCACCCCAAGGGUAAACUUGUAAUUUUACACCACCCAACACUUGUCCAGCACAUGGAUUUUACUCAAUAUUAUCAUGGAUAAUUGCGAAAAUUUAAGUGGUGGAGAGAGAUUGCUUAAUGGGUAAGUAUGACACAUGGACUAAUGGAAUGGUGACAUGUGUCAAAUUUUCAUCCAUUUAUUAUUUAGCUUAAAAAUCAGCGCAAAAUCAACCCAUUUCUCUUCAUAUGGCCGACUUAAGCAAGAACAAAGGAAGAAAAGAAAGAACAAGAACCCUAGGGUGAAAAUUCAAGAGAAAAUUGGUGGAUUUCAAGUAAUCAAACAAUUAAAGGUAAAAUUUCUUGAUUUUGACUUGUGAUCUACCUUUCCCAUGCAUUCUUUUGCAUUUUCCAUUGUUGAAUCACAUGAUUUUAUGAUGGGUAUCUUGUUGGCUGAACACUUAGAGAGAGGUUUUGAUGCUUGAUUUGGUUAGAUUUCAAUGUAUUUUAGUGUUUUUAGUUGAUUGGUGAUGUGUAGCAUGAAAAUCAAGCAAGAAAAAUUCAUGUUCUUCCAUCACCCAUCAUUGGCCGAAUUCUCCAUGUAGAAUAUUGAUGAUGAUUUUGAUUUUAUUUCAAGUGAUUUGGUUAGGAAUUAGUGAUUUAUGGUGUGAGAAUCAAGCUUAAAAAAUUAUAGUGUUGAUGCACCCACCAUGGUCAAAUUUUCCAAGAGAAAAUGUGAGGAUGAUUUUGCCAUAUUUCAAGUUAUUUAAUUUGUGUUUGAUGAUUUCGAGUAUUGGGAGAAAAAUGAAAUUAUUUGGAGUUAAAUUGGACGUAUUGGCUAAUUAAUCAGGUGAUAGAUCGAAUUAAGUCAAUACCGUUUUAUUUAGGUACAUAAUUGAAUUUAUAUUGAACACCGUAUUUAGAUAGUUACCCGAGCAUUUCACAUCCCAUUUCAUGCAUUAGUAUAGAGCCUGAAUUGGUUUUAUAACAAUUUAGCACAAAUGUAGUAAAUGGUUUAUUGUGCAUUAUGUCUAGGUGGUGAGCAUUCUGGCAAAAGUGAAGAGAUAGUACUCGAGGAUCAAGAAUCGGAGUGCUCGAAAUUCGACUCUCCGAAAUAGUGAGUAACCUUAUUAUCAUCUUAAUUAUCUAAAGUGGUUUUUAUCCGAUUUUAUGACUUUAUGGAAAAUGAGUUAAAUGGUAAAUCUUUGUGUUUUGUAAUUAAAAUGUGAUUUAAUGAAAUUAUUUUAUAACAUUGUUUUGAAAUGAAAUGAUGGUUUGAAAAUAGAGUAAUUGGAGAUUGCUUUCAUGUGUUGUAAAUUCAUGGUUUGAAUCGAAUGGCUCAUGACAAUAUUUGCAUGAAUGGCUAAAUUGGUAUUUGUGUUGAAAUAUAUGAACUAUGUAUUUAGCCUUGAGAGGCUGGAUUGUGACAUAAUUGCCAUGUCAUGCAGUUGAGAUUUUAUUGAAUUGGUGGGUUUAGCUUGCUGCAAUGGGCGGGUUCCGUGGACCAGCCUAUUAGAAAGGCACGGUAACCCCGUUAUAUUCUUACCUCGGUCGGAGAGGCGUGUAGGGUAACUCCCGAGGUACAACUUUAGAGUUCACUUCACGCCAAACCACCACGUGAAGGUGGACUCAGCCAACGCUAAGGAGCAACUAUGUUUUCAAAAUAAAAACAUGAUUUAUGCGUACAUGACUUUUUAACAGCCUUGGCGAACUCAGUUGGGAUAGCUCCAGGCCAAGGUAUCCCUAAUAACUGAGUAUGAGAAUGAUUUUGGCACGAGCCAAAGUUUUAAAAAAUUCAAAAGCCAUGUUGAUUACUCGAUUUAUAUGAAUUGAUUUUAUUUGGUUGAAAUGAGUUGAAAGGUGAUGAAUUACAGUAUGAUGAUCUAUUUUAAUCUGUCUCAAUUUACUCAGCUUUAGAUAUUUUCUAUGGUAUUUGUUUACUCACUGAGAUUAUAUAAUCUCACCACCCUCCUUUCCACCCAUUUCAGGCUCAAGAUAGUCGGUAGAUAGCCCACUUUAUUAAGGGCUACAAUUGGACUUGCAUCCUCAAAAAAAUUAUAGGUUUACCGCUAUUGAUAUUUUUGGUCGUUCGUGGGCUCACGUGUCAUUGUAAAUUAAAUUUUAUACUUUGGUUAUCUGUAUUACAGUAUGUAUAAAUUUAUUUAGCUUUUACACUACAAAAAUUAUUUACUGAAAACUUUAUAAAUAUUGUUUUAUAAGAAAAUAGAAU